This 253-nucleotide unclassified non-coding RNA is filed under the name plant metagenome. Its description in RNAcentral is "partial contains small subunit ribosomal RNA, internal transcribed spacer 1, and 5.8S ribosomal RNA". The stretch from base 205 to 253 matches the Rfam family "5.8S ribosomal RNA", at positions 1 to 49 of the family's 154-position model. The record is from RNAcentral.
UUUCCGUAGGUGAACCUGCGGAAGGAUCAUUAUUGGAUUUUGAAACUUCAGGCUGCUGCUGGCUCUCCUCGGAGGGCAUGUGCACGCUUGUUGUCCAUUAUUUCUCCCACUGUGCACAAAUUGUAGACCUUUCAGUAGGCCUAUGUUGUUUUUCACAAUCUCUGAAUGUAAUAGAAUGGUUUUGAAUCUUGGGAAAUACAAUACAACUUUCAGCAACGGAUCUCUUGGCUCUCGUAUCGAUGAAGAACGCAGC